RNAcentral lists this ribosomal RNA (881 nucleotides) under Escherichia coli. RNAcentral's name for it is "partial 23S ribosomal RNA". It matches the Rfam family "Bacterial large subunit ribosomal RNA", at positions 388 to 1268 of the family's 2925-position model. Lineage: Bacteria; Pseudomonadati; Pseudomonadota; Gammaproteobacteria; Enterobacterales; Enterobacteriaceae. The record is from RNAcentral.
AUGCACAUGCUGUGAGCUCGAUGAGUAGGGCGGGACACGUGGUAUCCUGUCUGAAUAUGGGGGGACCAUCCUCCAAGGCUAAAUACUCCUGACUGACCGAUAGUGAACCAGUACCGUGAGGGAAAGGCGAAAAGAACCCCGGCGAGGGGAGUGAAAAAGAACCUGAAACCGUGUACGUACAAGCAGUGGGAGCACGCUUAGGCGUGUGACUGCGUACCUUUUGUAUAAUGGGUCAGCGACUUAUAUUCUGUAGCAAGGUUAACCGAAUAGGGGAGCCGAAGGGAAACCGAGUCUUAACUGGGCGUUAAGUUGCAGGGUAUAGACCCGAAACCCGGUGAUCUAGCCAUGGGCAGGUUGAAGGUUGGGUAACACUAACUGGAGGACCGAACCGACUAAUGUUGAAAAAUUAGCGGAUGACUUGUGGCUGGGGGUGAAAGGCCAAUCAAACCGGGAGAUAGCUGGUUCUCCCCGAAAGCUAUUUAGGUAGCGCCUCGUGAAUUCAUCUCCGGGGGUAGAGCACUGUUUCGGCAAGGGGGUCAUCCCGACUUACCAACCCGAUGCAAACUGCGAAUACCGGAGAAUGUUAUCACGGGAGACACACGGCGGGUGCUAACGUCCGUCGUGAAGAGGGAAACAACCCAGACCGCCAGCUAAGGUCCCAAAGUCAUGGUUAAGUGGGAAACGAUGUGGGAAGGCCCAGACAGCCAGGAUGUUGGCUUAGAAGCAGCCAUCAUUUAAAGAAAGCGUAAUAGCUCACUGGUCGAGUCGGCCUGCGCGGAAGAUGUAACGGGGCUAAACCAUGCACCGAAGCUGCGGCAGCGACGCUGAUGCGUUGUUGGGUAGGGGAGCGUUCUGUAAGCCUGCGAAGGUGUGCUGUGAGG